RNAcentral lists this ribosomal RNA (253 nucleotides) under uncultured bacterium. Its description in RNAcentral is "partial 16S ribosomal RNA". It matches the Rfam family "Bacterial small subunit ribosomal RNA", at positions 524 to 776 of the family's 1533-position model. The record is from RNAcentral.
UACGUAGGGUGCGAGCGUUGUCCGGAAUUAUUGGGCGUAAAGGGCUCGUAGGCGGUUUGUCACGUCGGGAGUGAAAACUCGGGGCUUAACCCCGAGCCUGCUUCCGAUACGGGCAGACUAGAGGUAUGCAGGGGAGAGCGGAAUUCCUGGUGUAGCGGUGAAAUGCGCAGAUAUCAGGAGGAACACCGGUGGCGAAGGCGGCUCUCUGGGCAUUACCUGACGCUGAGGAGCGAAAGCGUGGGUAGCGAACAGG